Molecule: ribosomal RNA, 497 nt
Filed under: uncultured bacterium
Lineage: Bacteria
Description: partial 16S ribosomal RNA
Rfam family: Bacterial small subunit ribosomal RNA
Source: RNAcentral
GAUGAACGCUGGCGGCGUGCCUAAUACAUGCAAGUCGAGCGAACGGACGAGAAGCUUGCUUCUCUGAUGUUAGCGGCGGACGGGUGAGUAACACGUGGAUAACCUACCUAUAAGACUGGGAUAACUUCGGGAAACCGUAGCUAAUACCGGGUAAUAUUUUGAACCGCAUGGUUCAAAAGUGAAAGACGGUCUUGCUGUCACUUAUAGAUGGAUCCGCGCUGCAUUAGCUAGUUGGUAAGGUAACGGCUUACCAAGGCAACGAUGCAUAGCCGACCUGAGAGGGUGAUCGGCCACACUGGAACUGAGACACGGUCCAGACUCCUACGGGAGGCAGCAGUAGGGAAUCUUCCGCAAUGGGCGAAAGCCUGACGGAGCAACGCCGCGUGAGUGAUGAAGGUCUUCGGAUCGUAAAACUCUGUUAUUAGGGAAGAACAUAUGUGUAAGUAACUGUGCACAUCUUGACGGUACCUAAUCAGAAAGCCACGGCUAACUACGUG